AGGAGUUUGAUCAUGGCUCAGGACGAACGCUGGCGGCGUGCUUAACACAUGUAAGUCGAACGGAUCAUUCAAUCUUUUUGGUUGGGUGGUUAGUGGCGAACGGGUGAGUAACACGUGAGUAACCUGCCCUUCACUGGGGGAUAACUGUGGGAAACUUCAGCUAAUACCGCAUGUUCACGCAUUCUCGCAUGGGGGUGUGUGGAAAGAUUUUUUGGUGGGGGAUGGGCUCGCGGCCUAUCAGCUUGUUGGUGGGGUGAUGGCCUACCAAGGCUUUGACGGGUAGCCGGCCUGAGAGGGCGACCGGCCACACUGGGACUGAGAUACGGCCCAGACUCCUACGGGAGGCAGCAGUGGGGAAUAUUGCACAAUGGACGGAAGUCUGAUGCAGCAACGCCGCGUGCGGGAUGAAGGCCUUCGGGUUGUAAACCGCUUUCGAUCACGACGAAUGUGACGGUAGUGAUUAAAGAAGCACCGGCUAACUACGUGCCAGCAGCCGCGGUGAUACGUAGGGUGCGAGCGUUGUCCGGAUUUAUUGGGCGUAAAGAGCUCGUAGGUGGUUUGUUGCGUCGGGAGUGAAAACACACGGCUUAACUGUGUGCUUGCUUUCGAUACGGGCAGACUUGAGGAAGGUAGGGGAGAACGGAAUUCCUGGUGGAGCGGUGGAAUGCGCAGAUAUCAGGAGGAACACCGGUGGCGAAAGGCG
This 703-nucleotide ribosomal RNA is filed under the name uncultured bacterium. RNAcentral describes it as "bacterial SSU rRNA". It matches the Rfam family "Bacterial small subunit ribosomal RNA", at positions 1 to 724 of the family's 1533-position model. The record is from RNAcentral.